RNAcentral lists this long non-coding RNA (3165 nucleotides) under Oreochromis niloticus (Nile tilapia). RNAcentral's name for it is "lncRNA (ENSONIG00000033760.1)". Lineage: Eukaryota; Metazoa; Chordata; Actinopteri; Cichliformes; Cichlidae. The record is from RNAcentral.
AUGGAUCCAGCGGCAUUCACCCCACCCCCGGAGCUUCGAGGGCUCAUAACGGACUCAGCUACAAAAUUAAUCGAUCUGUGGCUAAAGCAUGAGGGAGAAGCGUUUCUCUAUGCUGUGGAGGACAAGCUACAACAGCUUAUUUCCGGUUACCCCUGGUUAUUGGACUCACUGCACCCGCUCGUACAGGAUUUUCUUCUUCACGAGCUUCACCUUCACCCUCCCGCCGCUACCGCUCGCCCACUCGCUUCAAUGGAGGACGUGCCGUCUGACCCGCCGGACGAGGAGUUUCCCGGCCCGUCGGAGCGGUCUCCAAGGAGGAAGCGACAUUCGCGCCGCCGGCGCAGCACCCCACAGCCGGAUGUCGGGACAUGUAAGCAGCCGGCUGUGGUGAGUAAAAGGGACACUUUUUCUGCUGCGUCACACUCUGUGACUGUUGUUUCUGGGGCAAUUUUUUGUGUUUCGACUGAAGAUAACAAUGAUUCCUCAAUCUCACCUAUGGCCGCAGUUUCUAAGACUGCCUGUUCUGAACCCUCGUUCCGAGUUUAUGACCGUGUCCGCUCCGUUGUCCCAUCCUCACUUCCAUCCCAGUUAAAUGCCCGGCCCGUAACACUGCCCGCAGUUCAGUCAGCAGCCCAGCUGCCCGCAGUUCAGUCAGCAGCCCAGCUGCCCGCAGUUCAGUCCGCAGCCCAGCUGCCCGCAGUUCAGUCAGCAGGCCAGCUGCCCGCAGUUCAGUCAGCAGCCCAGCUGCCCGCAGUUCAGUCAGCAGCCCAGCUGCCCGCAGUUCAGUCAGCAGGCCAGCUGCCCGCAGUUCAGUCAGCAGGCCAGCUGCCCGCAGUUCAGUCAGCAGGCCAGCUGCCCUCAGUUCAGUCAGCAGGCCAGCUGCCCUCAGUUCAGUCAGCAGGCCAGCUGCCCUCAGUUCAGUCAGCAGGCCAGCUGCCCUCAGUUCAGUCAGCAGGCCAGCUGCCCUCAGUUCAGUCAGCAGGCCAGCUGCCCUCAGUUCAGUCAGCAGGCCAGCUGCCCUCAGUUCUGUUGGCCUCUCCACCACCUAUUACGCCUUCACUACAGUCGUCUCCGCUACCUGUAGGUCAGUCUGUAGUCGCUCCGCUGCCUAUAGCUCAGCCGCCACUUGUUCAUCUGUCUGCUCACUCACUCAUUCAGUCACCAUCCUCACCGUCUCGUUACGAGCAGGGAACACACUUCAUACAAACUUUAGCUGGUUCCCUUAAGCUGGCCACCUCUGUGACAGUUGCUCCCUCUAGGGCCUCCCCAGAGGCUGGGUGUCACUCACCAGCUGACUCUGGACCCCUAGAGGUCAAGACGCCAGCGCCAGCAGUUUCACUGGGGAACUCACCAGAGCAGUCUCGGCUCUCAGCGCCCCCUGAGAGCUCAAGUGAGUUCACCCGUCCGCCUCCGUCCUCUGCUGAGUGUAUUGGGGAACACUUUCAGCCCUCUGAGGACUGCAUCCCACUGUUGCUGCCUGAGUCUAGCCACUGUGCUGCUCAGUUCCAGCCAGUGUCCACACCGGCAGAGGUCUGCGUACCUGCUGCCUCAGUGUCUGUUUCCGCUGGAGGGCCCGAGUCGCCCGUCCAGCCUCAAGUUUCGUUAGCUGGGGGUUUGGGAGAACCCAGCCAGCAUCCUGCCUCGUCGGCUGGAGGGCCUGAGGAGCCCGUCCAGCCUCAAGUUUCGUCUGCUGGGGGUUCGGGAGAGCCCAGCCAGCUUCAAGUUUCGUCUGCUGGGGGUUCGGGAGAGCCCAGCCAGCUUCAAGUUCCGUCUGCUGGGGGUUCAGGUGAACCCAGACAGCAUCCUGCCUCGUCAGCUGGGGGUUCGGAGGAGCCCAGCCAGCUUCAAGUGUCGUCGGCUGGGGGUUCGGGAGAACCCAGCCAGCCUCAAGUGUCGUCAGCUGGGGGUUCGGAGGAGCCCAGCCAGCUUCAAGUGUCGUCAGCUGGGGGUUCGGAGGAGCCCAGCCAGCCUCAAGUGUCGUCUGCUGGAGGGCCCGAGUCGCCCGUCCAGCCUCCUGUGUCGUCAGCUGGUGGGUCCGAGGAGCCCGUCCAGCACCACACCUCGUUAGCUGAGGGUCCUGGAGGACCCAGACAGCACAUCCUCCCGUCUGCUGGCGGUCCGGGGAGGGCUGUUCAGCCAUCACCGGCUAAAUCAUCCCCCACGACAUCUACAUCUCCGCCUGCAGCAUCAUCAUCUCCGCCUGCAGCCGCAGCUUCAUCCGCAGCCGCAGCUUCAUCCGCAGCCGCAGCUUCAUCCGCAGCCGCAGCUUCAUCCGCAGCCGCAGCUUCAUCCACGCCUGCAGCUUCAUCCACGCCUGCAGCCGUCCCGCUGCCGUCAGGUUCCGCGGCCGUCCCGCUGCCGUCAGGUUCCGCGGCCGUCCCGCUGCCGUCAGGUCCCGCAGCCGUCCCGCUGCCGUCAGGUCCCGCAGCCGUCCCGCUGCCGUCAGGUCCCGCAGCCGUCCCGCUGCCGUCAGGUCCCGCAGCCGUCCCGCUGCCGUCAGGUUCCGCAGCCGCAGCUUCAUCCACGCCUGCAGCCGCAGCUUCAUCCACGCCUGCAGCCUGCAGCUUCAUCCACGCCUGCAGCAUCAUCGCCUGCAGCUUUAUCCACGCCUGCAGCAUCAUCGCCUGCAGCAUCAUCGCCUGCAGCCGUCUCGCUGCCGUCAGGUUCCGCAGCCGUCUCGCUGCUGUCAGGUUCCGCAGCCGUCUCGCUGCCGUCAGGUUCCGCAGCCGUCUCGCUGCCGUCAGGUUCCGCAGCCGUCUCGCUGCCGUCAGGUUCCGCUUCUGCUCUGCCUUCGCCUGGCCCUGCCUCGUCAGACUCGUCCACGCCUGGCCCUGCCUCGUCAGACUCGUCCACGCCUGGCCCUGCCUCGUCAGACUCGUCCACGCCUGGCCCUGCCUCGUCAGACUCGUCCACGCCUGGCCCUGCCUCGUCCACGCCUGGCCCUGCCUCGUCCACGCCUGGCCCUGCCUCGUCCACGCCUGGCCCUGCCUCGUCCACGCCUGGCCCGGCCUCUGUGUCUUCAUCCACCCCUUCUGCUCCGCCAUCGUCUGGCCCUGCGGUUGCCACGCCGUCAUGGAACCCAGCUCGUCCUGUUCCGCCUCCCCUCUGCCGGCCGUUUUCCGGGCCUCUAAGUUGGCGUCAUGGCCGUCGAGGCCGGCCUCCUGA